UACGUAGGGUGCGAGCGUUAAUCGGAAUUACUGGGCGUAAAGCGUGCGCAGGCGGUUCGUUAAGUCAGAUGUGAAAGCCCCGGGCUCAACCUGGGAACUGCAUUUGGGACUGCAAGGCUGGAGUGUGGCAGAGGAGACUGGAAUUCCUGGUGUAGCAGUGAAAUGCGUAGAUAUCAGGAGGAAUACCGAUGGCGAAGGCAGGUCUCUGGGCUGACACUGACGCUCAUGCACGAAAGCGUGGGGAGCAAACAGG
This 253-nucleotide ribosomal RNA is filed under the name uncultured bacterium. RNAcentral's name for it is "partial 16S ribosomal RNA". It matches the Rfam family "Bacterial small subunit ribosomal RNA", at positions 524 to 776 of the family's 1533-position model. The record is from RNAcentral.